CUCAUAUACGUGUAUGUGCACAUGAAUGUAUACGAGAAGCCAACCAGCUACACUCCUCACCAAAUUCAUGACCUGCAAGAAACAGCAAACAGAACUUGUACUCAGUACUUAUGUACUUAUGUACUUAUGUAGCCCUUUUGUGAUGUAGUGACGCGCGUUUCCACUGCAGGGUGCGGAACAGCAGGAAGACAUCGGAGAGGGGACGGGCAGAGAAACGAAACUACACGAACAGAAAUGGAGGUCGAUCAACGUAUCAUCGUCGCCGUGUGCGGCCGUCCUGUCCUGUACGACACCACGAUGGUGUCGUACAGGGACAGGAACAAAACAGAGAGGGCGUGGGUCGACGUGGCAGAGGAUAUUGGCGUUCCUGACCAGCCCAGCAGUGAGUCUGAUGUAGAGGACGCUGAUGCUGCUCCUGCUCCUGCUCCUGCCCCUGUCCCUGCCGCUGGCCCUUCCCAUGUACCUGUCCCUGAGGCUGCCCCUGCCCCAAGACCACAGGGCGCGACGAAGAGGAAGAGAGCAGCCAGGGUACCGGAGGGGAAUAAUGUCCAGACAGCCAUCCUCCAGGCCCUGCAGAGGCAUAAUUCUGUCCCUACCCCUACCCCCCUUUCUGGGAAUGAGCACUUUGCCAUGGGCCUAGUUCCUUCCCUGGAUAGAUUGCCACCUGAAGUACUGGAGCACGUUAAAUUCCAAACCGUAAAAGUCAUAUUUGACCAAUCUAAUUUCACCGUUCAAUUGGAACCUAUUUAAGCUUAUUAGCUAGUGGUGGUGACAAUCUCUCCAGGGAAAGAACUAGGCUGAUG
Molecule: long non-coding RNA, 803 nt
Organism: Gadus morhua (Atlantic cod)
Lineage: Eukaryota; Metazoa; Chordata; Actinopteri; Gadiformes; Gadidae
Source: Ensembl